This 239-nucleotide unclassified non-coding RNA is filed under the name Malassezia sp. RNAcentral describes it as "partial contains 5.8S ribosomal RNA, internal transcribed spacer 2, and large subunit ribosomal RNA". The stretch from base 1 to 52 matches the Rfam family "5.8S ribosomal RNA", at positions 103 to 154 of the family's 154-position model. Lineage: Eukaryota; Fungi; Basidiomycota; Malasseziomycetes; Malasseziales; Malasseziaceae. The record is from RNAcentral.
AACGCACAUUGCGCCCCUUGGUAUUCCGAGGGGCAUGCCUGUCCGAGCGUCACGAGACUCUUCAAGCCCUAGGCUUGGUAUUAGGCCGUGCCGGUACCGGCAGGUCGCAACUCCAGUGGCGGCGCCGCGGGGUUCCGAGCGAAGUAACACCUCUCUGCUACGGAUCUCUACGGUCGACGACCCAGAAUCCAACUCUUCGGGUUGACCUCGGAUCAGGUAGGAAUACCCGCUGAACUUAA